UUAGGAUCUCCGUUAUCCUACCACCUUGCGCCCGAGGGCGGACGGGGAGGGGCGCCUGGCCCGUUUUGCUCGGGGGAACGACCCAGCCACGAAGCUCAUGGGACGCAGGACGGCCGAGGCCCUGCGCCUGACCCCGGAGAAGCCCCGUGCACGCGCCAGCCUCCCGGACCCAAGUGGAGUGUCCAGCCCGGCUGUCCGCGCCCAGCGUGCGGCCACCGGCGGCGUCCGUCGUAGCGAGCCCGGCUCGGCGGAGGGAAAUGAUCGCGAGCUGUCUGAACGCGCGUUUUCUUGUCGGCCCCGCUGUAGGCAGGGGGUCUGCAAACUCAACAAAGAUUCCAGAACCCCAGCCCUAACUGCUCAUCCGCAGUCCCCGUCUUUAAGAUAAAUUAACACGACGUGGGAGAGAGAAAGAACCAGAGGAACAGAAGAGGGAUACACUGGAUAGAAGAACUACUAGUCCAGUGAUCUUCAAACAGUUACUCUCUUAUCCCCAAAAGAAUUGAUCAGGAUGAAAUUUGCAGCAUAAUGUAUAAUGUCACUUGGUGGAACAUUCAGGAAGCCUCCAGAGAGGCCGAGAGGCCCACAGGAAUGGAGAUCACCAUCCCACAGCCAGCAAAUACUGAGACUUGCAGAAGACUACACGAGUGAGCUUGGAAGUGAAUUCUCCAGCCCUAGGCAAGCUUCGAGGUGACAUUAGUCCCCCAACCCAACAACUUGACAGCAACCUCUGGGGACCCUAAGCCAUUCCCUGAUUCCUGACUCUCAGAAACUGUAGGAGAGAAUAAGUGCUGUUUUAAGCUCCUACGUGAGAAGUAAUCUGUUACACAGCUACUAUCAUCUGCUUAAAAAAAAAAACAGCCA
This is a long non-coding RNA of Enhydra lutris kenyoni (northern sea otter), 861 nucleotides long. RefSeq lists it as uncharacterized. The record is from RefSeq and is a predicted model, not a curated record. The transcript has 3 exons. Lineage: Eukaryota; Metazoa; Chordata; Mammalia; Carnivora; Mustelidae.